CCUCUGGUUCUUUCCCUACUAAAACAGUGUCUGUCUGUCUGCCCUUAGAAGCCCUCUGAGUCCUGGCGAGUAAUGAGCAGCUCCAACCAGUUCAGCUUCAACACAAACCAUGUUCCCUGCAUCUAUGCUGCUGCUGCUGCUGCUGGCAGCUGUAUCCUGUGUUCAGUGUGAAGAACUCACUCAGCCAGCCUUUAUGACUGUCCAGUCAGGUCAACUACUGACCAUCUCCUGUGUACAGAGUUAUGAACUCACUCAGCCAGCCUCUAUGACUGUCCAGCCAGGUCAACCACUGACCAUCUCCUGUAAGGUCUCGUAUUCAGUUACUAGCUUGUAUACAGCUUGGAUUCGACAGCCUGCAGGGAAAACACUGGAGUGGAUUGGAUAUAUUAGUAGUGGUGGAAGCACAGCUUAUAAAGAUUCACUGAAAAACAAGUUCAGCAUCACCAGAGACACUUCCAGCAACACAGUGUUUUUAAAAGGACAGAGUCUGCAGACUGAAGACACAGCUGUGUAUUAUUGUGCUCGGUGGCCACAGUGAUACAAACCAACAGCAGACCUGUACUAAAACUCACUCCUCCCUUGUACAGUUGAAGUUAGAAGUAUAUAAAUAUCAAACAUCCUAUGAUAUAAUGAUUACAACAUACCAGUGGAGUCUGCUGAGGGGAGGAUGGCUCAUAAUAAUUGUCUGUAACGGAGCGAAUGGGAAUGGCAUCAAACACAUGCAAGCCAUGUGUUUGGUGUAUUUGAUACCAUUCCACUAAUUCCGCUCCAGCCAUUACCAUGAGCCCGUCCUCCCCAAUUAAGGUGCCACCAGUUGUGUUGUGACAUGGUAGGGGGGUAUACAGAAGACAGCCCUAUGUGGUAAAAGACCAAGUCCAUAUUAUGGUGAGAACAAAGAAGCGAGAAGACAAAUGACGGUCCAUCUUUACUUUAAGACAUGAAGGUCAGUCAGAGAGGAAAAUUUCAAGAACUUUGAAAGUUUCUUCAAGUGCAGUCGCAAAAACCAUCAAGUGCUAUGAUGAAACUGGAUCUCAUGACCACCACAUGAAUGGAAGACCCAGAGUUACUUCCUUAAGCAGCCGGUGAAGAUACUGUGAGACACUGCCCAAUCCUUCCUUUUGGAGGGUGUUUUGCCUUUGUCUGACACUGGUUACAACGUGUUAGUACAAGGCGUGGAGAUGGGUUGCAUGGAAAUUCCUUUAUAUAAUGUGAAACUCGAGUCUGAUCUUAUUUCUGGUUUCAUUUUCAUUGGAGUUGUUAUGUUCUGUUAAUUACUGAUGUCCCCUUUAAAAAUGGAGCACCCUUGGUCAUGCGCAGUGUUGUUCUAUGUUGUUCUGGUACUAACUCGUUUUAGUAAAUGUGAAGCUCCAGUUCAUUUCCUUGUAU
Molecule: non-coding RNA, 1386 nt
Organism: Salmo salar (Atlantic salmon)
Lineage: Eukaryota; Metazoa; Chordata; Actinopteri; Salmoniformes; Salmonidae
Source: the annotation of a RefSeq genome assembly